Drosophila gunungcola (fruit fly) is the source of this 559-nucleotide long non-coding RNA. RefSeq lists it as uncharacterized. Lineage: Eukaryota; Metazoa; Arthropoda; Insecta; Diptera; Drosophilidae. The record is from RefSeq and is a predicted model, not a curated record. The transcript has 2 exons.
UGAUUUUUCCUGCCAAAAUUAGUCUGUCAACCAUUUUCGGCUUUUCAUAACGUAAAAUAAAAAUCAAAAAUACAUUUUAAAGGCUCUGAUGUUUUUCCUGGCAAAUAUAAAAUACAUAUCUCAGUUCAAAGCAAAAACUAUCGAUAAGUCUGGAACCGGGACAAAUCGAUACACUAACGUUGGUUUACGUUGUUUUUCCCGACCAUCCCUAGCGUGGUUAUUACGCUUUUUCGAUACGAUUAUUGUACACUUUCUGUUAAGGGGUGGCAAUUGAAAUUUGCAAGGGCUGUAAUUAAUUGGAGGCUAAGUUGAUGUUUUAUACCGACUGGAUAAAGGUAGAGAUUGGAGCAGGUUUGGCGGUGAAAUAAUGAACCAACGAUAUUGUUCGGAUGGCAUGUGUCCACGAACUCCGUACCACACAUACACGUCAGAAAGCGAACACGCCAAAGAGAACUUGCUGCUUCAUCUCUAUUAUGGACUUGGUUAAGUCGUAACGACAAAAAAUGGCCAAUCGGUCCCAAAUAAAUAGCCCAAUCUCACAGACCACAUCCAAGCGAAA